CCCUGGCCUGAUCACCACCCAUGAGUGGCAGGGUCCAUCCAGAGCUGGCAGACACCCUACCGGUGAAUAGUUCUGGAACAUUCACUCGGCCACCUACGCUACCACAGCCUCUGUCUAGAGGAAGACAAUGUCAGAUUUCUCCCCAUCGGGUGCUGACUUGACAAGAAACUCACUUCAUUCACAAACCCUCCUCUCUAGGGAAGGCAUUUUUCUAAGCAGCAAAUGAGGACAAAACACAUCUGCAUUGACAAGUCGAAACUUAUAUCCUUCUAUGGUGUUUUUGCUCUUUUGAAAAUGUUAAUAAAAACUUAAUGUGGAAAAAAAACAACUUUUUUUUUCCAAAUAUGUGUACCAA
Dipodomys spectabilis (banner-tailed kangaroo rat) is the source of this 355-nucleotide long non-coding RNA. RefSeq lists it as uncharacterized. The transcript is spliced from 3 exons. Lineage: Eukaryota; Metazoa; Chordata; Mammalia; Rodentia; Heteromyidae. The record is from RefSeq and is a predicted model, not a curated record.